This 429-nucleotide ribosomal RNA is filed under the name Chloroflexota bacterium. Its description in RNAcentral is "Chloroflexi bacterium partial 16S ribosomal RNA". It matches the Rfam family "Bacterial small subunit ribosomal RNA", at positions 355 to 776 of the family's 1533-position model. The record is from RNAcentral. Lineage: Bacteria; Bacillati; Chloroflexota.
UGGGGAAUAUUGCACAAUGGGCGCAAGCCUGAUGCAGCCAUGCCGCGUGUAUGAAGAAGGCCUUCGGGUUGUAAAGUACUUUCAGUCGGGAGGAAGGUGGUAAGGUUAAUAACCUUAUCAAUUGACGUUACCGACAGAAGAAGCACCGGCUAACUCCGUGCCAGCAGCCGCGGUAAUACGGAGGGUGCAAGCGUUAAUCGGAAUUACUGGGCGUAAAGCGCACGCAGGCGGUUGAUUGAGUCAGAUGUGAAAUCCCCGGGCUUAACCCGGGAAUUGCAUCUGAUACUGGUCAGCUAGAGUCUUGUAGAGGGGGGUAGAAUUCCAGGUGUAGCGGUGAAAUGCGUAGAGAUCUGGAGGAAUACCGGUGGCGAAGGCGGCCCCCUGGACAAAGACUGACGCUCAGGUGCGAAAGCGUGGGAAGCAAACAGG